UACCGCAUGCGCCGUCGGGGAAGCCGGGACCGUAAGGCCUGGCGCGAUUGGAUGAGCCCAUGUCGGAUUAGCUAGUUGGCGGGGUAAAGGCCCACCAAGGCGACGAUCCGUAGCUGGUCUGAGAGGAUGAUCAGCCACACUGGAACUGAGACACGGUCCAGACUCCUACGGGAGGCAGCAGUAGGGAAUAUUGGACAAUGGGCGCAAGCCUGAUCCAGCCAUGCCGCGUGAGUGAAGAAGGCCCUCGGGUUGUAAAGCUCUUUUGUCCGGAAAGAAAAGCGCCGGGUUAGUACCCUGGUGUCCUGACGGUACCGGAAGAAUAAGCACCGGCUAACUUCGUG
Molecule: ribosomal RNA, 341 nt
Filed under: uncultured bacterium
Lineage: Bacteria
Description: bacterial SSU rRNA
Rfam family: Bacterial small subunit ribosomal RNA
Source: RNAcentral